CAAGAACAGCUUCUUCCCAACAACCAUCAGGCUGUUGAACACUGCACAACACCAACCUCAGCGACUGUGAUCUUCUGUGGACUGUGUCUCUGGUUGCUCAACAGACUCCUGU
This is a long non-coding RNA of Amblyraja radiata (thorny skate), 112 nucleotides long. RefSeq lists it as uncharacterized. The transcript has 3 exons. The record is from RefSeq and is a predicted model, not a curated record. Lineage: Eukaryota; Metazoa; Chordata; Chondrichthyes; Rajiformes; Rajidae.